UAGGGAAUCUUCCACAAUGGACGCAAGUCUGAUGGAGCAACGCCGCGUGAGUGAAGAAGGUCUUCGGAUCGUAAAGCUCUGUUGUUGGUGAAGAAGGAUAGAGGCAGUAACUGGUCUUUAUUUGACGGUAAUCAACCAGAAAGUCACGGCUAACUACGUGCCAGCAGCCGCGGUAAUACGUAGGUGGCAAGCGUUGUCCGGAUUUAUUGGGCGUAAAGCGAGCGCAGGCGGGAUGAUAAGUCUGAUGUGAAAGCCCACGGCUCAACCGUGGAACUGCAUCGGAAACUGUCAUUCUUGAGCGCAGAAGAGGAGAGUGGAACUCCAUGUGUAGCGGUGGAAUGCGUAGAUAUAUGGAAGAACACCAGUGGCGAAGGCGGCUCUCUGGUCUGCAACUGACGCUGAGGCUCGAAAGCAUGGGUAGCGAACAGGAUUAGAUACCCUGGUAGUCCAUGCCGUAAACGAUGAGCGCUAGGUGUUGGGGACUUUCCGGUUCUCAGUGCCGCAGCAAACGCAUUAAGCGCUCCGCCUGGGGGGUACGACCGCAAGGUUGAAACUCUAAAGGUGAAUUGAC
RNAcentral lists this ribosomal RNA (571 nucleotides) under uncultured bacterium. RNAcentral's name for it is "partial 16S ribosomal RNA". It matches the Rfam family "Bacterial small subunit ribosomal RNA", at positions 355 to 914 of the family's 1533-position model. The record is from RNAcentral.